GAUCAUUCCUCCUGUCCAGUGUCUCCGGAGAGCGAGCAGUUUGCGUUUUCCCCAGCCGUCCUCCGACCAGGUGGAGUCCUCCUUCUCCUUUCUCGUGUGGAGCAAAGUUGGAGCUGCGUCAUUGCGCCACCACAAAACGUGUGUACGUCACUGCGUACGUAGCCGUUCAACAGCGUUCACGCCGUACGGAAACCCACACAACAACAAUGGAGGGCUUCUUUGGAGUGGUGUACGUGGCUUUGCGAGUGUGUCUCGCCAUCGCUGAACAGCAAAACCUUCUGUUAGGGGUUACUCAUCGGCGUCGCCGUUCCAAUGCCCGGCGUUCACGUUUGAGAAGAAAGAUGUUUUUAGAUGUCACCCCGCCUUCUGCCCGUGACAUGCUCGGCUCUCAACUCUGGCCACCUCUGGCCCAGCAACGAGUUGGUGCCCGAAACGGCCCCAGUUUUUGGAGCCCGGAGCCGCAGCUCCGGUGGUCGAAACACAAAAAACCGGCGCCAAGUCGGGCGCCGGCUCCAACUCCGAACGGGCUCCACCCCGGUCGAAAAGGAGGGGGAAGCAGCUGAAGGCAGAACUUGUCCUAUUUAAAGGAUUCGUAGCAAAGUGAAUGAGGUAGCGAUGGCUCUCAGAAAGAAGCUGGGUUUUUUUUUUUGUUUUUUUUGUUUUUUUUUUUAAAGGGAAAAAAAAUAUUAUUUUUUUCGGCUUCAUUUAGGCAUAGUGAGAGAGACGGGAAACGGGGGGAAAAGAGUUGGGGAACACAUGCAGC
Long non-coding RNA from Amphiprion ocellaris (clown anemonefish), 763 nucleotides. The record is from Ensembl. NCBI's taxonomy places the organism in Eukaryota, Metazoa, Chordata, Actinopteri, Pomacentridae.